RNAcentral lists this small nucleolar RNA (107 nucleotides) under Jatropha curcas. Its description in RNAcentral is "Plant small nucleolar RNA R71". It matches the Rfam family "Plant small nucleolar RNA R71". From Rfam's summary of the family: R71 is a member of the C/D box family of snoRNAs containing the C (UGAUGA) and D (CUGA) box motifs. Multiple nearly identical copies of this snoRNA have been identified in Arabidopsis, and it is thought to function as a 2'-O-ribose methylation guide for 18S ribosomal RNA. Lineage: Eukaryota; Viridiplantae; Streptophyta; Magnoliopsida; Malpighiales; Euphorbiaceae. The record is from Rfam by way of RNAcentral.
AAACUAUGGUGAGGACAUUUUCUCAGGAGAUCUUUAAAUCUUUCCCAAGCUUCAUACAAGCUUUCUUGAUCAUGAUGAACAAAUGUCAUAAUUUCAUUUCUUAACUU